This is a long non-coding RNA of Manihot esculenta (cassava), 570 nucleotides long. RefSeq lists it as uncharacterized. Lineage: Eukaryota; Viridiplantae; Streptophyta; Magnoliopsida; Malpighiales; Euphorbiaceae. The record is from RefSeq and is a predicted model, not a curated record. The transcript is spliced from 3 exons.
UCUUCUUCUUCUUCUUCACUUGGAAUGUCACAUAUGGAACCCUCUCUCCUUUGGGAAAACCACAGCAAGUGAUUCUCAUCAACGAUCAAUUUCCAGGGCCUGUCAUAAACUCCACAAGCAACAACAAUGUUGUCGUCAAUCUUUUCAAUAAUCUUGACGAGCCUUUUCUCUUGACAUGGAGCGGCAUCCAACAGAGGAAGAAUUAUUGGCAGGAGGGUGUGCUUGGAACCAACUACCCAAUUCCCCCUGGAACUAACCACACUUAUCAUUUUCAAGUCAAGGACCAAAUUGGGAGCUUUCUUUACUACCCAAGCACAUCAAUUCACAAAGCAAAUGGUGCAUUUGGUGGCCUUCAUAUCAAUAGUCGUUUGCUCAUUCCUGUCCCUUAUGAUGCUCCUGAGGAUGACUUCACUGUUAUUGUUAAAAUCGACUGGAGCCUGGAACAUGGGCACCUGAAAAGAGGAAGCACUACAAUCUUCUCGACGCAGUUAGCAGGACAACAGUGCAAGUAUUUCCAAAAUCAUGGGCAGCAAUCUUCUUGACAUUUGACAACGCUGGAAUGUGGAACUU